This 50-nucleotide transfer RNA is filed under the name Anolis chrysolepis (goldenscale Anole). RNAcentral describes it as "partial tRNA-Trp". Lineage: Eukaryota; Metazoa; Chordata; Lepidosauria; Squamata; Anolidae. The record is from RNAcentral. RNAcentral also lists the same sequence under 1 other name.
AAACUUAGGUUAAUGUAAANCCAAGGGCCUUCAAAGCCCUUAAUAAGGAC